CCAUUCUUUGCAAAAAGUGGAACACCCAUCCCCCAGAACCUUGUGAGUGUGAGGAUUAGAGCAGGACUAUUCAGCCUAGACAGAAUGGAUUUUCCCUUAUGUCCAACACUGACCAAGGGGACUUUAAAUAAUUUUUCCCGGGUUCUUUUCAGAAGGAUGAAUGACAGAUGCCGAAAGGUUUCCUUUGUCACCCAGUUGGCCCCAGAUAUUAGAAAACAGAAAAUUAGGAAAAUUUAUAGGUAUAAAUGGGUCCCAGUUGCUAGAGGAAGCUCAAAGGUGUUUAACAGCAGAGAACCAAUUGAGAGACGAGACCUUUUGCAUAAACUUAAAGCCACUGUCAACUCUCAUGAUGAGACACAGUUAGACUUACAGAUUUUGUCCAAAGAAUAUCUCUAGCUGAAAGUCGUGCCCCUAAUCAAAGGAUACAGCUGGACUAUCUCUUGGAUUUACAAUUAUAGGGGAUAUGGGCAGAAAUCAACCCCUCAGUACUGCCCCAACACCAAGUUCAUGUAAUUGCUCAAUUAAUUGGUUUAGCUACUCUCUGCAGACUAAACAAUGCCCAAUGACCCUGGAAACAAAAAGGGAAGUUGUGGUCCACAUUGCCAGGCUUAGAGAGACAGGCAUACUGGUGCCUUGCCAGUCACUCUGGAAUACACCUCUCCUGCCUGUGAAGAAAUCUGGGACCUCUGGUUCUCACGAGUCUGACUCCUCCAGAGAAACAGGUGUCCACUGUCUUGGACCUGAAGGAUGCCUUCUUCAGCCUCCAUGGGCACAGAAAGAACAGCAAGCAAGGUUGGAUUCCAGGGUCCAACUGAGAUGGGCAUCAUCCUACACGUAUGUCCUUGGGACUUGAUGGCCACCCCAAUCCAGCUUCUCAGAGAAGGACAGCAGGGACCAUGGAGGGGACAAGGAUUUCCCAACUGAGCAGGUGACACGGGACUUCUGGAGUCACACAAGGCAUCGACACAGACAAACCUGCCAGGGCUGCAAAGCACAGGGAAGGAAACUGGACCCCACGCUGACGUCCCUGGGUGACUGCCUGGGAGGGGAAGGCCCUGACACUCAGCCUGGCUUCCACACUCAUCCUCAGGGCAACACUAACUGUCUUUGCUCACAUAGUUUAUUGGGCUCUGAAUAAUGUGGGAACUUCACGACAAAUUAGAGCCAAGUGUAAGACAACGGAAUUGAACCCAUGACUGUAGUAUUUCCUGACGAAGUACAGAUAACUCUACCCUCUGUAUAAUGUACACUGUGCUCACAAUGGUCAGGAGCAUCAGACACAUCUGCUGAGUAGACUCAGCAGCCUUGUGAUUCCAGCUUAAACAGGGUUAGAAGCUUACUCAGAGGCUGGUGUUUAAUUAAAGACUACUGAUUGCUGAGGGAGUUGCCAGUGGGCUGUAGACAGAGAGGAUGAGACCUCAAGUUCAGGAGAUUCCCAUAUAGAUGGCGAAGAUGUGCUGGUGGUGGUCAGGGAGGAGCCUGGGGAGCCACAACACGCAUCUCUGCAGCAAGAGCCAAGGGCACCGCAGUCCUCAGUCACCAGGAAGGAGUAGCUGAUGUCACUGACAUGCCACAGAAUGGCCUCAAAACCCUUGGCACUUGACCCUGGUAACCAAAAAGAGGACAAAGACAAAGUACAGAGUUGCCAUGUGGUCCAGUCUCCCAUUUCUGAGAAAACCCAAAAAGGGCAGUCAGACAUUUGACAUGCACACUAUAUGUGAUUCAGAUGGACCAACUUGAGUGUCCACUUUUGCAGGAAUAAACAUGAAAAUGCAACCGAGCCCAUAUGAAUGUUCUUCCCCAUUACAGAAGCAGGAGAGUCUGACACAUGCUAGAACAUGGAUGAAGCCCAAGGACAUUAGAAACCGUGUGAUCUCAGAGAAGUCAUCGAUGCAGGUUGAAUCAGAAUCUUCUGUACUGUCUAAGUGUGAGUCCGGGUCCUGGAGAGGUGUUCAGGGCUAGCUCAGGAAGGACAGGAUAGCUGAGGGUGAAGACAAAGUCUCAGUCCUUCCUUUGUGAUUGGGGAACACUUGCUUGAAAUAAGGCACAAACUUCGGAAAUCUGAGAUGAUGGAUUCCUAGCCAGAUGAACGAAAAAACUAAUGUGUGUUCUCCGGCCAUUACUCAUGGUAUUUUAGAAAUUGAGCGCAACAUCCCACAGGACACACAGCAUCACAGCAUCCUUCAAGGAUUCUCCCAGAAACACCGGAGCAAGAUGAAGGGGGCUAGGCCCCUUAGAUCUGUGACCUUGAUCGUCUGUGAGACUUCUAGAUCUUUCCUCUUCGAUCUAAGUACAGAGGUGUGAUAGUGAAGGAAAUGCAGUCACAAGGCCAUUUACUGUACCAUCUGCCCUUGGCAUGGGCUGCUGUGGAGACCUUUGACCUUCAUCCAUCUCCCAGCUCUGCUGAACUUUGACUUCCAUAGAGCUCUCAUGGCAUGGAUCCAUCUGCUUCCUUCUGAUGACCUUUGAACCAAGCCUGAGGAGAUCAUUGUGCCAGGCCACUUGUCCUUUGGACUUGGUCUUACCUUUGACUUCAUUCUUACAAUCCAUGGAGCAUCAACAUCAUUUGGGUGUUAUUUUCCAUCUGAGGUCUUGGUCACUAAGGUAUGACAUUGGAUGUCUACACAGUAUGCGUGAAAACCAAGGGGUGAGGUAGGUAUUCUGAGGCCAAGGCACGGAGGACGGUCAGUGGCCAUGACAGUUCCCAUUGUUUUACGGGGUCUGCAUCUCUGUGGCGCUGUCCUUCUUAAGUCUCUCCAGGUGCCUCCAUAGCCCGAUGUGAUCAGAAGAGGUUUGCCUUUCAUGGACCCCAGGAAUAGGUGAACUGGGGGUUAAGCUAUUGGGUGAGAACAGGAGAGGGGUGCACUAUAACAUGCCUUUCCCGUUGGAGCUUUACACUGGAGCGGUCUGCUUCCUGCAAGGACCAUCAGUCCUUCCCUGACCCAGUCCCUGUGACCUGGGUUGUCCUCCCCACCCAGCACUGGAUCUCCCACGUCCUCCAAAGUGCUCACGCUCAGCUCCCACAGUGAACCCCUGUGCCUCACAAAUGCAUCUGCCCAAUGACACCAACAUAUAGCCAUGUUUCCUAGUCCACCUACAUACCUCAUCUUAUCUCAGUGUCCCCUACCCUUCGUGAGUCAAGAAUUGCCCAAUUGGGUUUAUAUGGAGCAGUGUGUAUUGAGAAACAGGGUGGUGUGUAGCAGGGACUGACAAGUUAGUGUAUGUGAUAUUGUAGGUGAAGCAGGUUGCACAGGGCUGUGACAAACCCAGCAUUGUAUGAGGGUGCUUUCAAGGGAAAGGCAGUACACAUGAGCUUCUAAACAUCAGGACCCAUUGGACCCUGUCUCCCACAGAAACUGCUAUAUCCAGCCUUGCUCCAGUCAGUUUCCCUGCUUCUCAAGCCCUAGAUGCACUGCUUAAUAUCAGGCCCCACUGAACACCCAAUCACCCCACGUGCGUUUCUGCCAUCUUAACAGACUUCAAAAAUACACCAUAUCUGCACUUCACACUCACUGUGGGUGAAGGCACCGAUCACACUAUCUAAUCCAUCACUGCAAGCACAGGCGAGUGUGCACAGACACCUCUACACACACAUGCACCCACAGGCACAGGUAUACAAGCAUACACACCAGCACAAACAUAGUCACACUGUUCCUUAUAUUGUGUUCAUUGUCACCCCUGCUCCGCAAACAUUGCUAUUGAUCAGGUGUGCUGGACACCCCCUGGUAAUCUACAUAGAGUACUAUGUGUCAUGUCCUGUUGGACCUAGACAGCCCCAACUGCUGCCACCCAAAAGACAGUGCUGUGCUCAUAAGACACUGCAGAGCAUCCCCCUAAUGCUCCCACACAGUCCUCUCAAUAUCCGGGACGGUCCCCUCUUCAGGCCUUACUAGAUACCAUCUGGAACCCUGCCAAACCUACGCAUGCUCUCCUUGUUUUCAUGCCGCCUGGACACUCCAUCCCCUGUCCAGAUUCCUUGAAUCACACUCCUUGCUGUCAGGCCUCACUGGACACCUAUCUGAGCCCUUGUGCACGACUGUGUACCAUAUACUUCUGGAGCCUCUGGUCCUGAGCCUCAGAGUGUGCCUUAUAUCAGGCACCGCUUGAUAAGUUCCACUUCCUACACCUGUGUUACUGCCUUAAUGCAGUGUUGAUUUUCAGCCAUGCUCACCGCCCCUCCCCGCCACUGUCUAGGUAGUGGAUGCGGGCAGCAGAACAGGGAGAUGCUAGGUAAGGGCUGAUGCCUAGCAUUCUAUGCAUGACUGUGUCGGCACAGGCAUUGCAAUAAAGUCCUGAUACCUAGAAGACUGUAUAUCAAAGUGGUAUGUGUGUAUAACAGAGCCUGUAAAAUGACGUAUUUGUUGGCCAGCCGAGUAUACUGGGGAUAAGCGUGUAUUUCUAUCCUCUUCUGACACAUAGUAUGCCACGUGUCAGGGAGGAGUGGUGUCCAGGUGAACGUUAUACACAGCACCCUAUGGGUCACUGUGAAUACAUGUGACUGAGGUGGCAUUUCUGGCCCAGCUUGGAUGGUAACUAGUAGUAGAGACUGAUACACAGCCGUUUGUGUGGCAACCUGGUGUCUAGCAAUGGAAUGUGGAAUCAGGAGAGGAUGCCCUUUUAACUAUCCCAUGAUCCUUCUAAGUCCAGGCUUCUCUUGAAUUCAUCCGUGAGACUCCACAAGGGAAGAAAUGGGGCACCACAGGAAAUCUCCAACUGUGAUCCUUACCAAACAGGAACAUGUGGGGUACACUAAUGUAAUGCUGAGGUGCCACAUGUGAGGAACUGAGUUCUGUGUGUCCUUGUUCCCUGUUCUACUCUUGGGGAGUGUAAGGUCCUCGAGGGAAAAUGUCCAUGUGCAGGGGACAAGGACCUCUUUCUGGGGUUCAGGUAAGAACAACCCUGUGAUUCUGAGGAAUGGUCAAUGAACAGGGAAGUAACUUUUCUGUCCUUUUCUAUUUGGUGUUACAGUGUGCCUCUUGUCUGGAGGUAUAUCUCUUUCCCUAGUCUGUGGAAAUUUUCUUCUGUUUUUUACUGAAUAUAUUUUCCAUAUUUUAGCAGGAAGGAUUCUUCUCAUUCUGCUAUUCCUAUAAUUCAUACUUGGAUAUUUUUCAUGAUUUCCAAAGAACUCACAUGUUCCCUUCAUACUAAAAACUUAAUUAAAUUAUCACAGACUUGUAUUUGAAUGAUUAACUUUCUCUUGUACCUUAGCUUUCCAUACAAUACAUUGGGUUUUUUUUUGAGGCUAUUCAUUGUGCUUUUAGACUUAUAUAUUUUUUUAUUUCUAGAGUUAAUUCUCUAGAUUCUAGGAUUGUUUCAUUUUUAUGUCUCUGUAUUAAGUUCUGUUUUCAAAUCUUGAAUUUCUUCCUUACUCAAGUUUUUGUUUGCUGAAUUAAUUCGGGAAAUUAUUUGUACCCUGAUAAAUUCACUGAUGAAUUUAUGUGAACAUACUAAAAAUCAUUCUAUUGCAUACUUUAUCUUGAAUUUUAUUAUGUCAUUCUGUUUGCCACUACUACAGGAUUGGCCAUUUUGGGAGGAGCUAUGUAGUCCUGGGUUUUCAUGUACCUUCUCUUUUUGUCAUGGGGCUCACUCUUCUGGAUUGAGUUUGCUGGUGAAGUGUUUCUGAUACCUUCGUGUGCAGGGAGUGUUUGGAUUGGUGUUUGCUGUUCCUCAUUAGGUUUUGUUUGGCUCCUCUGUGUUUUUCCUGAGCUCAGGUGUGGAGACACAUGGUGCUGGCUGGACUGUAGAUGGGAUAGGUGACUGGUGCUGGAUGAAGUAGCAGUGGUGUCCCUUCUGACCUCACAAGCCAGCCUUCAGGAACUGUGAUGGAAUGUGUGCUGGGCAGGGUUCAGUAUGGUCACAUUCUCUGCUCUCAUGAGCGAGGCUAUGUGUAUAACAAAGGUUGUCUGCUGGGCCCUAUGUGUUCACAUAUAUUCUGACCUCAUGACCUACCUUGCACACAGUGCCAUGGGUAUAUUCACCAAGUCUUUGAUCUAGGGGGUGAACCAUCCAUGAUGUUGCCACAGUUCUGCCAGCCUGCUAAACUGAUGUUCCUACAACCACUGUUGCUUGUUACAAGUCCCAUGUUUUACUAGCUCAAGUCAGAUGUUUGGACUCUUCUGUUUGUAUCCUCUGAUGAGUCCCCAACAUAUUAAAAAUAAACUCAGAUUCCUCCCCA
Non-coding RNA from Myodes glareolus (Bank vole), 6175 nucleotides. The record is from RefSeq and is a predicted model, not a curated record. NCBI's taxonomy places the organism in Eukaryota, Metazoa, Chordata, Mammalia, Rodentia, Cricetidae.